RNAcentral lists this ribosomal RNA (505 nucleotides) under uncultured bacterium. RNAcentral describes it as "partial 16S ribosomal RNA". It matches the Rfam family "Bacterial small subunit ribosomal RNA", at positions 28 to 507 of the family's 1533-position model. The record is from RNAcentral.
GACGAACGCUGGCGGCGUGCCUAAUACAUGCAAGUAGAACGCACAGUUUAUACCGUAGCUUGCUACACCAUAGACUGUGAGUUGCGAACGGGUGAGUAACGCGUAGGUAACCUGCCUGGUAGCGGGGGAUAACUAUUGGAAACGAUAGCUAAUACCGCAUAAUAUUAAUUAUUGCAUGAUAAUUAAUUGAAAGGUGCAAUUGCACCACUACCAGAUGGACCUGCGUUGUAUUAGCUAGUAGGUGAGGUAACGGCUCACCUAGGCGACGAUACAUAGCCGACCUGAGGGGGUGAUCGGCCACACUUGGACUGAGACACGGCCCAGACUCCUACGGGAGGCAGCAGUAGGGAAUCUUCGGCAAUGGACGAAAGUCUGACCGAGCAACGCCGCGUGAGUGAAGAAGGUUUUCGGAUCGUAAAGCUCUGUUGUAAGAGAAGAACGGGUGUGAGAGUGGAAAGUUCACACUGUGACGGUAUCUUACCAGAAAGGGACGGCUAACUACGUG